GAGACAGAGUCUCGUUCUAUCACCCAGGCUAAAGUGCGGUGGCGCUAGCGAUUCUCGUGCCUCAGCCACCGAAUAGCUGGGAUUACAGGCGUGCACCACCACGCCCAGCUGAUUUUUAUAUUUUUAAAUAGGGUUUUGUCAUGCUGGCCAGGCUGGUCUCGAACUCCUGGCCUGAAGUGAUCUGCCCCCGUCGGCAUCCCAAAGUGCUGGAAUUCCAGGCGUGUGCCACCGCGUCUGGCCUCAAAUAGGCUUGGUCUGUUCCACUCCUUUCCCCUAGGAAAAAGUCUAUUUAGGGAUUGCUUGCCAAUCCCUAAAGGUUGGAUCAGGAGUCCCAGACCAGCCUGGGCAACAUGGCGAAACUCUGUCUCUACAAAAAAUUAGCCUGGGCUGGGCAAGGUGGCUCAUGCCUGUAAUCCCAGCACUCUGGGAGGUCGAGGCAGGUGGAUCACGAGGUCAGGAGUUUGAGACCAGCCUGGCCAAAAUGGUGAAACCCUGUCUCUACUAAAAAUACAAAAAUUAGCCGGGCGUGGUGGCACACACCUGUAAUCCCAGCUACUUGGGAGGCUGAGGCAGAAUUGCUUGAACCUGGGAGGCGGAGGUUGCAGUGAACUGAGAUCACGCUACUUCACUCCAGUCUGACUGAAAGAGCAAAACUCUGUCUCAAUAAUAAUAAUAAUGAUAAUAAUAAUGAGUUGUUUAACCAGAGUCAGUGAUCUGUCAGCUCCCUCAGGCAGUCUCUCCAAUAUGUGCGGGGUGUCAAGGAAUCCUAGGGCCUACAGCUUAGUUUAGGUAAGGGAGCUAUGGGUAAUAAAAUCAAAAAGGGUCAAAUUCCAUGAAACCUUGAAUGCCAAGCCAGACUAUUUGAAUGGAAAGGGGCCCCACAACAGCCCCUUCUUGCUCCCUGCUACUGAUAACUUGCAGCCAGUUGCCCUGGACCUGGCCCUGGCCCUGGCCCCUCCUUUUCCUAACUCCCACUCUCAACUCUCAGAGACCUUGACCCAGCCUUGCCAGGACUCAUGGUCCUAAAUCAGCCAGGCAUCCUGUGGCAGAGUCUGUCAGGAGUGAAAGGAUGAGUUAUUUUUCCAGGCUGUCCCUUCUCCCCACUCAGAGACUUCUCAAGUCCUCGGGUUCAGUGAGAAACUUGCCAGAUCCAUCCUCCCCAAGCAUCCCUGUGCCACGAAUUUAGCUCUUCACUCAAAGUAAAAUCUCUGUGGAAGCAAUUUGGCAGAGUGGGAACUCAAGGGAAAACCAUCUCGAGGCAUGAGGUGGGCCUUCCCCAGAUCCCUCAAAUCUUACCACAGAGAUAUUCCUAUCAUUUAUUUAUUUAUCUCCCCCAGUUCAAAUGUGAGUAACACUGCCUUGUGGGGGAACCCACUCUAUGCAACUGUCCCACCUUCCCCAGUUUAGCUUUGUCCCACCCCCCACCGCCACUGUUAACCCAGCCAGUGAAGACCUCAAAGCCCUUCUCUCAGUCCCCCAGACCCACACCAUUCCCAGCUAGGCCAAAGACACUGCAGCCCCCAGCUGCAUCGAGUGAUUAAUGACCUCCCUAGACGUUGGGGCUAUUUUGGGUCCUGGAAGUCAUGCCUGCAAUGACUGAGAGCUGGCCCUGCCUGGCUCCAGCCAUCUGUCACUGGAGACAGGCCCAAGCAGGGGGCUUGGAGGUUGUAUGCUCCCCAGAAGAUUUCCAGGUAUGGUUCUGGCUCAGGACCAUCCAUCUACCCUCCUUUUGGGGGACAGAUGGCAAGGAGAGGCCACAGGCCCUAUCUAUACUCCAGGGGCUCAAGUGGAUACCCAUGGAGAGAGCCAGAAAAUGACAGAUCUCAGAAUGCCACAGGACCAGGUUGUUUUGGUCUGUUUGAGGUCAGGUACAGAGGAGACGUUGCGUUCUAUGGGCCCUGCCCAAGCAGUCAUAAGGAAAUGCAAGUGGAGAUGUGCAUACACCUCAGCAGUGCCGUGGGAUACUCAACAAUCCACACCUCAUACACUCCACAAAUUUCACACCAAGGUACAACCUCACGAAGGCUACACAACCAACUUAGAGGCUCAGGAACCCUCAACCCAGUCCUAAAGUACAGAACUCCAGGUACACACAGUCUCAGUGUCACAGAAUCCCAGUGAUCACAACCCCAGGGAGACACAGACUCAGCCAUACAUAGCCCAGUGAUGCACAACUUAGUAAUGCACAAUCCCAUUAAUACACACUCCCAGAGAGAGAGAAAACAGAGACAUACAAUCCUUAAGCCACACAAGUCUAUCAGUCCCAUGUCAU
RNAcentral lists this long non-coding RNA (2272 nucleotides) under Homo sapiens (human). Its description in RNAcentral is "non-protein coding lnc-HPS6-1:1". Lineage: Eukaryota; Metazoa; Chordata; Mammalia; Primates; Hominidae. The record is from RNAcentral.